UUCUGACCUCGGAUCAGGUGGGACUACCCGCUGAACUUAAGCAUAUCAAUAAGCGGAGGAAAAGAAACUAACAAGGAUUCCCUUAGUAACUGCGAGUGAAGUGGGAUGAGCUCAAAUUUAAAAUCUGGUAGUCUCUGGCUGCCCGAGUUGUAAUCUAGAGAAGUGUUUUCUGUGCUGGACUGUGUUUAAGUUUCCUGGAUAUGGAACAUCAUAGAGGGUGAGAAUCCCGUCCUUAAUACAGACUCCCCAGUACUAUGUGAUGCACUCUCAACGAGUCGAGUUGUUUGGGAUUGCAGCUCAAAAUGGGAGGUAAAUUCCUUCUAAAGCUAAAUAUUGGCGAGAGACCGAUAGCGAACAAGUACCGUGAGGGAAAGAUGAAAAGCACUUUGGAAAGAGAGUUAAACAGUACGUGAAAUUGUUAAAAG
RNAcentral lists this ribosomal RNA (425 nucleotides) under Hydnum subberkeleyanum. RNAcentral's name for it is "partial 28S ribosomal RNA". It matches the Rfam family "Eukaryotic large subunit ribosomal RNA", at positions 1 to 414 of the family's 3401-position model. Lineage: Eukaryota; Fungi; Basidiomycota; Agaricomycetes; Cantharellales; Hydnaceae. The record is from RNAcentral.